This 540-nucleotide ribosomal RNA is filed under the name uncultured archaeon. RNAcentral's name for it is "bacterial SSU rRNA". It matches the Rfam family "Archaeal small subunit ribosomal RNA", at positions 458 to 997 of the family's 1478-position model. The record is from RNAcentral.
UCAGCCGCCGCGGGAACACCGGCGGCCCGAGUGGUGAUCGUGAUAUUGGGUCUAAAGGGUCCGUAGCCGGUUUGGUCAGUCCUCCGGGAAAUCUGAUAGCUCAACUAUUAGGCUUUCGGGGGAUACUGCCAGACUUGGAACCGGGAGAGGUAAGAGGUACUACAGGGGUAGGAGUGAAAUCUUGUAAUCCCUGUGGGACCACCUGUGGCGAAGGCGUCUUACCAGAACGGGUUCGACGGUGAGGGACGAAAGCUGGGGGCACGAACCGGAUUAGAUACCCGGGUAGUCCCAGCCGUAAACGAUGCUCGCUAGGUGUCAGGCAUGGCGCGACCGUGUCUGGUGCCGCAGGGAAGCCGUGAAGCGAGCCACCUGGGAAGUACGGCCGCAAGGCUGAAACUUAAAGGAAUUGGCGGGGGAGCACAACAACGGGUGGAAGCCUGCGGUUUAAUUGGACUCAACGCCGGACAACUCACCGGGGGCGACAGCAAUAUGUAGGCCAAGCUGAAGACUUUGCCUGAAUCGCUGAGAAGAGGUGCAUGG